This 291-nucleotide unclassified non-coding RNA is filed under the name uncultured fungus. Its description in RNAcentral is "partial contains 5.8S rRNA, ITS2 and 28S rRNA". It matches the Rfam family "Eukaryotic large subunit ribosomal RNA", at positions 668 to 961 of the family's 3401-position model. The record is from RNAcentral. Lineage: Eukaryota; Fungi.
AAGGAGUCUAACGUCUAUGCGAGUGUUUGGGUGUCAAGCCCGCGCGCGCAAUGAAAGUGAACGGAGGUGGGAACCCGCAAGGGUGCACCAUCGACCGAUCCUGAUGUCUUCGGAUGGAUUUGAGUAAGAGCAUAGCUGUUGGGACCCGAAAGAUGGUGAACUAUGCUUGAAUAGGGUGAAGCCAGAGGAAACUCUGGUGGAGGCUCGCAGCGGUUCUGACGUGCGAAUCGAUCGUCAAAUUUGGGCAUAGGGGCGAAAGACUAAUCGAACUAUCUAGUAGCUGGUUCCUGC